GGAGGUCCUGCCUGCCCAGUGACAACUAGUUAAACGGCCGCGGUAUUUUGACCGUGCUAAGGUAGCGCAAUCACUUGUCUUUUAAAUGAGGACCUGUAUGAAUGGCGGAACGAGGGCUUAACUGUCUCCUUUUCCUAGUCAAUGAAAUUGAUCUACCCGUGCAGAAGCGGGUAUACUAAUACAAGACGAGAAGACCCUUUGGAGCUUAAGAUAAAAGGCCAACUAUGUCAAAGGCCCAAAUAAAACUAAGCCAAACAAAACAGCCAACUGGCCAAUAUCUUCGGUUGGGGCGACCGCGGGGGAAAACAAAGCCCCCACGUGGAACGGGGAAUAUACCCUAAACCAAGAGAGACAUCUCUAAGUCACAGAACAUCUGACCAAAAGAUCCGGCCAACCAAGCCGAUCAACGGACCAAGUUACCCUAGGGAUAACAGCGCAAUCCCCUCCAAGAGUUCAUAUCGACAAGGGGGUUUACGACCUCGAUGUUGGAUCAGGACAUCCUAAUGGUGCAGCCGCUAUUAAGGA
This 525-nucleotide ribosomal RNA is filed under the name Piaractus brachypomus (pirapitinga). Its description in RNAcentral is "partial large subunit ribosomal RNA". It matches the Rfam family "Bacterial large subunit ribosomal RNA", at positions 1848 to 2571 of the family's 2925-position model. Lineage: Eukaryota; Metazoa; Chordata; Actinopteri; Characiformes; Serrasalmidae. The record is from RNAcentral.